UAUUGAGGAAGCUCCUCCAGUUAUUAUUAAGGAGACUCCUGUUAUUGUUCAGGACGCAGAAAAGGUUAAUUCCUUGGCUGCUGAGGUAGAGAGUUUGAAGGUUUCAUUGCUAUCAGAAAGAAAAGCAGCUGAAGAAGCUCGUAAUGCUUGUUCAGAUGUUGAGACCAGAAAUGCCGAGCUGGUAAAGAAACUUGAAGAGUCCGAGAGAAAAGUGGACCAACUUCAAGAUUCGGUGCAGAGAUUAUAAGAAAAACUUGCCAAUUCAGAAUCCGAUAUUCAAGUACUUCGCCAGCAGUCACUGGCAAUAUCACCAACUGGGAAAUCUUUGACUGCAAGACAAAGAAGAAUGAUUAUUCC
This is a long non-coding RNA of Hibiscus syriacus, 357 nucleotides long. RefSeq lists it as uncharacterized. Lineage: Eukaryota; Viridiplantae; Streptophyta; Magnoliopsida; Malvales; Malvaceae. The transcript has 3 exons. The record is from RefSeq and is a predicted model, not a curated record.